UUACAUCGGAGACUUCAGGCCAGUUCUUCUAUUUGAUGAUUUGUUUGGAGAGGGUCAUGAGGACAUUGAUGAUGACAUCGAGGUUGAUCUUAUAGAGGGGCUACCUGAGGAUCGACAGGUUGAGGUCGCCAUGUAGUUAUCCAGGGAUGAGUAGCAUGCACGAAAGGUUGGGGCUAGUUCUAGCACUUGACAUGAUGAUGAGUCACCCUUCAUAGUAGAUUCAAUGAGAGGAUCCCAGCCUGACGAGGAUCCUAUUGAGACAGUGAG
This 267-nucleotide long non-coding RNA is filed under the name Capsicum annuum. RNAcentral's name for it is "long non-coding RNA (CANN_LNC020390)". The record is from RNAcentral. Lineage: Eukaryota; Viridiplantae; Streptophyta; Magnoliopsida; Solanales; Solanaceae.